Oncorhynchus keta (chum salmon) is the source of this 492-nucleotide long non-coding RNA. RefSeq lists it as uncharacterized. The record is from RefSeq and is a predicted model, not a curated record. Lineage: Eukaryota; Metazoa; Chordata; Actinopteri; Salmoniformes; Salmonidae. The transcript is spliced from 3 exons.
AUUAAGGGGAGGAGACAGGUUAAAGAAGGAUUUUUAAGCCUGAGGCAUGGAUUGUACGUGUGCCAUUCAGAGGGUGAAUGGGCAGGACAAAAUAUUUAAGUGCCUUUGAACAGGGUAUGGUAGUAGGUGCCUUUGAACAGGAUAUGGUAGUAGGUGCCUUUGAACAGGGUAUGGUAGUAGGUGCCUUUGAACAGGGUAUGGUAGUAGGUGCCUUUGAACAGGGUAUGGUAGUAGGUGCCUUUGAACAGGGUAUGGUAGUAGGUGCCUUUGAACAGGGUAUGGUAGUAGGUGCCUUUGAACAGGGUAUGGUAGUAGGUGCCUUUGAACAGGGUAUGGUAGUAGGUGCCUUUGAACAGGGUAUGGUAGUAGGUGCCAGGCACACUCGUUUGAGUGUGUCAAGAACUGCAACACUGCUGGGUUUUAACAAGAAUGGUCCACCACCCAAAGGACAUCCAGCCAACUUGACAACUGUGGGAAGCAUUGGAGUCAACA